This 1910-nucleotide ribosomal RNA is filed under the name Synechococcus sp. HGSVT-ECHO-5991. Its description in RNAcentral is "bacterial SSU rRNA". The stretch from base 1 to 1402 matches the Rfam family "Bacterial small subunit ribosomal RNA". Lineage: Bacteria; Bacillati; Cyanobacteriota; Cyanophyceae; Synechococcales; Synechococcaceae. The record is from RNAcentral.
GGCGGACGGGUGAGUACGCGUGANAAUCUGCCCUCAGGAGGGGGAUAACGGUUGGAAACGACCGCUAAUACCCCAUAUGCCGAGAGGUGAAACGAAAUUCGCCUGAGGAUGAGCUCGCGUCUGAUUAGCUAGUUGGUGUGGUAAUGGCGCACCAAGGCUUCGAUCAGUAGCUGGUCUGAGAGGAUGAUCAGCCACACUGGGACUGAGACACGGCCCANACUCCUACUGGAGGCAGCAGUGGGGAAUUUUCCNCAAUGGGCGAAAGCCUGACGGAGCAACGCCGCGUGAGGGAUGAAGGCCUCUGGGCUGUAAACCUCUUUUCUCAAGGAAGAAGAUCUGACGGUACUUGAGGAAUAAGCCACGGCUAAUUCCGUGCCAGCNGCCGCGGUAAUACGGGAGUGGCAAGCGUUAUCCGGAAUUAUUGGGCGUAAAGCGUCCGCAGGCGGCCUCGAAAGUCUGUCGUUAAAGCGUGGAGCUUAACUCCAUUUAAGCGGUGGAAACUACGAGGCUAGAGUGUGGUAGGGGCAGAGGGAAUUCCCGGUGUAGCGGUGAAAUGCGUAGAUAUCGGGAAGAACACCAGUGGCGAAGGCGCUCUGCUGGGCCAUAACUGACGCUCAUGGACGAAAGCCAGGGGAGCGAAAGGGAUUAGAUACCCCUGUAGUCCUGGCCGUAAACGAUGAACACUAGGUGUCGGGGGAAUCGACCCCCUCGGUGUCGUAGCUAACGCGUUAAGUGUUCCGCCUGGGGAGUACGCACGCAAGUGUGAAACUCAAAGGAAUUGACGGGGGCCCGCACAAGCGGUGGAGUAUGUGGUUUAAUUCGAUGCAACGCGAAGAACCUUACCAGGGCUUGACAUCCUGCGAAUCCCUUGGAAACUAGGGAGUGCCUUCGGGAGCGCAGAGACAGGUGGUGCAUGGCUGUCGUCAGCUCGUGUCGUGAGAUGUUGGGUUAAGUCCCGCAACGAGCGCAACCCACGUCUUUAGUUGCCAGCAUUAAGUUGGGCACUCUAGAGAGACCGCCGGUGAUAAACCGGAGGAAGGUGUGGAUGACGUCAAGUCAUCAUGCCCCUUACGUCCUGGGCUACACACGUACUACAAUGCUACGGACAAAGGGCAGCAAACUCGCGAGAGCUAGCAAAUCCCAUAAACCGUGGCUCAGUUCAGAUCGUAGGCUGCAACUCGCCUACGUGAAGGAGGAAUCGCUAGUAAUCGCAGGUCAGCAUACUGCGGUGAAUACGUUCCCGGGCCUUGUACACACCGCCCGUCACACCAUGGAAGUUGGCCACGCCCGAAGUCGUUACUCCAACCCGCAAGGGAGGAGGAUGCCGAAGGUGGGGCUGAUGACUGGGGUGAAGUCGUAACAAGGUAGCCGUACCGGAAGGUGCGGCUGGAUCACCUCCUAACAGGGAUACAAAAACCGGCUUUGAUGUCUGACUAAUUUAAUGUUAGACCGAAGUCCUGUCAUCUUUAAGGUCGAUCGGUACCUCAGUUGACAACUUAAGAGCUUAGUCUGCUUAAGAAGUCAAAUCAGUUCCUAAACUUUGUCUAGGUCACCCCCGGCGGGGUUGUCCCGAGAGGGGCAAGUUUCAAGGCUAGUCCUUGAAGCCAAAGCCAUCAUGGGCCAUUAGCUCAGGUGGUUAGAGCGCACCCCUGAUAAGGGUGAGGUCCNUGGUUCAAGUCCAGGAUGGCCCAUUCGUGUUUGGGGGUUUAGCUCAGUUGGUAGAGCGCCUGCUUUGCAAGCAGGAUGUCAGCGGUUCGAGUCCGCUAACCUCCACUCCAACUGUACUUCCAAGCCAAGAAAACGACGGCUUACCAAUCGGUAAGGUGAUCCAGACAGGUUAAAAGCUAUUGAAUCUAGCCUCCAAUCAUUCCAAGGUAAUAGAAUACCUGGUUGAAUGGAUGCUGGACUGA